This 362-nucleotide ribosomal RNA is filed under the name Clostridioides difficile. RNAcentral's name for it is "partial 23S ribosomal RNA". It matches the Rfam family "Bacterial large subunit ribosomal RNA", at positions 841 to 1203 of the family's 2925-position model. Lineage: Bacteria; Bacillati; Bacillota; Clostridia; Peptostreptococcales; Peptostreptococcaceae. The record is from RNAcentral.
GGAGAUAGCUGGUUCUCCCCGAAAUAGCUUUAGGGCUAGCCUCAAGGUGAGAGAUACGGAGGUAGAGCACUGAAUGUCCUAGGGGGUAUUGCACCUACCGAAGACUAUCAAACUCCGAAUGCCGUCAUCUUAUACUUGGGAGUCAGACUGUGGGUGAUAAGAUUCAUAGUCGAAAGGGCAACAGCCCAGAUCGUCAGCUAAGGUCCCUAAAUGUAAGUUAAGUGGUAAAGGAUGUGGGAUUGCACAGACAACCAGGAUGUUGGCUUAGAAGCAGCCACUCAUUCAAAGAGUGCGUAAUAGCUCACUGGUCGAGUGAUCCUGCGCCGAAGAUUUCCGGGGCUAAAACUUACUACCGAAGCUAC